UACGUAGGGCGCAAGCGUUGUCCGGAAUUAUUGGGCGUAAAGAGCUCGUAGGCGGCUUGUCACGUCGGGUGUGAAAGCCCGGGGCUUAACCCCGGGUCUGCAUUCGAUACGGGCAGGCUAGAGUGUGGUAGGGGAGAUCGGAAUUCCUGGUGUAGCGGUGAAAUGCGCAGAUAUCAGGAGGAACACCGGUGGCGAAGGCGGAUCUCUGGGCCAUUACUGACGCUGAGGAGCGAAAGCGUGGGGAGUGAACAGG
Molecule: ribosomal RNA, 253 nt
Filed under: uncultured bacterium
Lineage: Bacteria
Description: partial 16S ribosomal RNA
Rfam family: Bacterial small subunit ribosomal RNA
Source: RNAcentral